This is a long non-coding RNA of Gadus macrocephalus (Pacific cod), 733 nucleotides long. RefSeq lists it as uncharacterized. NCBI's taxonomy places the organism in Eukaryota, Metazoa, Chordata, Actinopteri, Gadiformes, Gadidae. The transcript is spliced from 3 exons. The record is from RefSeq and is a predicted model, not a curated record.
UCUCAAUCAGAUGUGUAGCAUGAAAUAUAAGGCUUUUAAUAAUUUAGUCAUCCUUACUGGAGGCUACAAUUAACAUGCAUCAUAGGUCAUACACAUUACUUUGUCUUCAGGUACUGCACUUACGGGAGGAGAUGGCUACAUCUUCACAAUAAUUUACACUGCCAUAGUACACUGCUAAACAGUACUGUAACAUGGAUUUGUAUUAGGCUAUGAAGUCAUUUAAAGCAUAACUUUACUUUUCAGGGGGACAUGCUCUCUAUCAGGAGGUGGUGGUUGGACAGCUGUUGGAGACCUUUAUGCUUGAAAGGUUUAUAUACUGUAACUAGCUGGCUCCUUCUCACCCUCUCCAUCUCCCCAUCUCAGUCACACCUUCCAAUCACUAAGCAGUGAAAGCCCUGCAGGACUAGCUGGCACACCAAGCUCACCCUCUCCAUCUCCCCAUCUCAGCCACACGCUCCAAUCUGGCACAACAGAGGACAGGCCAUUCUUACCACCCGAAGUCCUUCAGCAAAUUGUACAAGAGACGCUGAGACUGGACAUGGCGAUGCUUGGCGUGUUCAACAGGGUUUCAAACACAUUCCGAGAACUAAUCAAGCCUCUCCAUCCUUCCAUAUAUAUAAAUGACAGUUUGGCAGGGGACAUUAAGCUUAAUAAAGACAAUCUCAUAUACAUAACGGUUAGAAAGAUUUACAACAAUGCAGGCUGUGGCAGUGGCCUUGCGCUACGCCUCAAA